ACCAAGAUGGUUCAAUUGGUAGAGCAUGAGACUCUUCAUCUCUGGGUCAUGGGUUUGAGCCCCUCAUUGGGCA
Molecule: non-coding RNA, 73 nt
Organism: Podarcis lilfordi (Lilford's wall lizard)
Lineage: Eukaryota; Metazoa; Chordata; Lepidosauria; Squamata; Lacertidae
Source: the annotation of a GenBank genome assembly